GUUGGAUCACCUCCUUA
This 17-nucleotide ribosomal RNA is filed under the name bacterium endosymbiont of Nycterophylia cf. coxata. RNAcentral's name for it is "partial 16S ribosomal RNA". RNAcentral also lists the same sequence under 3 other names. The record is from RNAcentral.